RNAcentral lists this ribosomal RNA (727 nucleotides) under uncultured bacterium. RNAcentral describes it as "bacterial SSU rRNA". It matches the Rfam family "Bacterial small subunit ribosomal RNA", at positions 108 to 851 of the family's 1533-position model. The record is from RNAcentral.
GAGUAACGCGUGAGUAACCUGCCUUUCAGAGGGGGAUAACGUUCUGAAAAGAACGCUAAUACCGCAUAAGAUUGUAGUUUCGCAUGGAGCAGCAAUCAAAGGAGCAAUCCGCUGAAAGAUGGACUCGCGUCCGAUUAGAUAGUUGGCGGGGUAACGGCCCACCAAGUCGACGAUCGGUAGCCGGACUGAGAGGUUGAUCGGCCACAUUGGGACUGAGACACGGCCCAGACUCCUACGGGAGGCAGCAGUGAGGGAUAUUGGGCAAUGGGGGAAACCCUGACCCAGCAACGCCGCGUGAGGGAUGACGGUUUUCGGAUUGUAAACCUCUGUCCUCUGUGAAGAUAGUGACGGUAGCAGAGGAGGAAGCUCCGGCUAACUACGUGCCUGCAGCCGCGGUAAUACGUAGGGAGCAAGCGUUGUCCGGAUUUACUGGGUGUAAAGGGUGCGUAGGCGGAUUGGCAAGUCAGAAGUGAAAUCCAUGGGCUUAACCCAUGAACUGCUUUUGAAACUGUUAGUCUUGAGUGAAGUAGAGGUAGGCGGAAUUCCCGGUGUAGCGGUGAAAUGCGUAGAGAUCGGGAGGAACACCAGUGGCGAAGGCGGCCUACUGGGCUUUAACUGACGCUGAGGCACGAAAGUGUGGGUAGCAAACAGGAUUAGAUACCCUGGUAGUCCACACUGUAAACGAUGAUUACUAGGUGUGGGGGGUCUAACCCCCUCCGUGCCGGAG